This 77-nucleotide transfer RNA is filed under the name Clostridium sp. CAG:798. Its description in RNAcentral is "transfer RNA-Met(CAT)". It matches the Rfam family "tRNA". From Rfam's summary of the family: Transfer RNA (tRNA) molecules are approximately 80 nucleotides in length. Their secondary structure includes four short double-helical elements and three loops (D, anti-codon, and T loops). The record is from RNAcentral. RNAcentral also lists the same sequence under 2 other names. Lineage: Bacteria; Bacillati; Bacillota; Clostridia; Eubacteriales; Clostridiaceae.
GCGCCCUUAGCUCAGUUGGUUAGAGCAACCGGCUCAUAACCGGUAGGUCCAAGGUUCGAAUCCUUGAGGGCGCACCA